Molecule: non-coding RNA, 78 nt
Organism: Pelobates cultripes (western spadefoot toad)
Lineage: Eukaryota; Metazoa; Chordata; Amphibia; Anura; Pelobatidae
Source: the annotation of a GenBank genome assembly
CAUUUAUCAGUGAUGCUCAAAAUAAAUGUCUGAACAUAUGAAAUUUUUAUGAUUCACAUUUUUGUACUGAGAUGAAUG